GCUCACUCACUCACUCACUCACUCACUCCUCAGGCAGUUCGCGAGGCUCGCUGCUUCGGCACUCGGCAGUGAGUUACCGACUGCACUCAGGCGCGCAUCGCACUCUCGGCCUUGCGAAGCAGCAGCGACAGCCGCAGCAGCAGCAGCAACAGCAGCGCAAACCCACCGGAGCGGUAGCAACGUGUCACGUAACGCGAGACAAACCCAUGCUCUUAAACUGUCAAUGAUGAGGAAGAUUGGGUGGAGAAGUGAGAGAUUUAUAUUGACGAAUGAACAAGGAGAGAAGGAAAAAACUGUUUCGUGAAAAAGAAAGACGUCAGGAUGAAGUCUGAUCCCCCCGCGGAACGGUUGGAGAAUUUUUUAAAUCACCAACGCUGCAAGAAUUAUUUUUACCACAAUCGUCGCGAUCUGCAUCAGCAGCAGGAUCAGUAGCAGAGUGCAAAAAAAAAAAAAAAAAAAAAAAUUAAAUAAAACGAUAAUAACAAUUAAAAAGAAGAAGAAAAACAAAAAGAUCGUUAAUCUAUGAAACAUAUGACAUUGACAGUGAGAAUGAGAAAUCGAUCCAAUCGAACCUGCUGUGUGAUUUAAAAAGUGCAAAAAAAAAAAUCAAAAUAAAACGUAAUCACAGAUCAUUAAACUUCGAGGGUGAAAAGCGUCCUCGUUAAGGACAGAAUCAAAACGCGUAGUGAACGAAAUACAGUCGAGUAAAGAUAAGUCUGUGAAUUAUUUUUUCGUGAUAUAAAUAGAAAAAAAAAAAGGAAAAAAUCUUAGAAAAUGGAUCACAAUGACGACAUUUUAUCAUCCGGUCAAAUGGAUUCCAGUGCCCCGUCGUCAAACGCGGCGGUCAAUCCAAGAACACCGCCGAAUUGUGCCCGUUGUAGGAAUCAUAGACUAAAAAUAGCCCUCAAGGGUCACAAGAGAUACUGUAAAUAUCGUAGCUGUAACUGCGAGAAGUGUAGAUUAACCGCGGAACGGCAACGCGUCAUGGCGUUGCAAACCGCGCUGAGAAGAGCUCAGGCCCAGGACGAGGCCAGGGUCAGAGGGCCCGAAGAACAGGUGGACCCUCGUUCGGUGGUCGUUGACGUCGCCGAUCGUUUGAUAUCGGUGCCCCAACCCGAGAGGUCGAGUUUGGAGGGUAGCUGCGACAGCAGCAGCGGGGGAUCCCCGGUGAGCAAUCACGACAGCAACGGAGGGCACAGCGUAAUCGGGGGAUCGGUUGUUACGAUACCACCCUCGCAAAAAUUACCCGCGAUUUACCCCCACGGCACCCCCCCGUCGUAUUUACCGCAGCGGCGAAACGGUGAAAACGUCGAGGUUCUAUUAGAGUACAGUACCAAACUCCUAGAGCGUUUCCGGUAUCCCUGGGAAAUGCUUCCCCUAAUGUUCGUUAUAUUGAAAGAUGCGAGAGCCGACCUUGAGGAGGCUUCCCGACGCAUAACGGAAGAUGCAACAACACGAAAAUUACUUUCAUUAUGCAUGACUACGAUCUCUUAUAGUUUAAUGUUUAUCAAUAGAUGCAAAGUAUUUGUUGCUAUAACUGUAUUUUAUAGUCAUCAGAUAGAAUUGGUUAAUUAAAAAGGCAAAACAAAUUUUUAAAAGUCAAAACGAGCGGUCAAAAACGUACCUGCAGUUAAUGCAUGCGCAGCAAUAUACAAAAAAUUCUUUACACGCGGAAGCUCAAGAAGAACAAAAAUAAAAAUGUUUGACCGUCACUUGGGAAAAAUGGCUGUGGAGUGAUUUUGCGAUUAAAUGGUAUAAUUUGACGUUUUCAAAACUACGUGAGAAUUUUUAUCGAACGCUGUUUAUAUCAUAUUCUGUUUCUUAACAUUUUACUAUUAUUUUCGUUCAAUUAUCAAUAUUGCAAGAGAUCGUUAAAAUAUCGCGGGAAUUCAACCUCAUCGCUGGAUGCGCUCAUCGUAGAUGGCAACAAGGAUGAUCCGAAGCUGGAUGAACGAAUCUACCUUUGAAGAAAAACGAACAAUCCCAGCAAAACUUUCAUUGCAUCAACUGAAGAGGAAAACAACGAUAUUUUCAUCACGGAAGAUUUCAUACUGGAUCAAACGUUUAAUCUUUAAACGUAAAGAAUUUUAAAUAAUCGAUGAACGUUAAACCAGAGAAAUUAAAAUUUCGUCACGGAAGAUGCUGGAUGAUGGAUAAAUUAAUCAAUUAAUUUCACAUUAAGUUAAACUUGUAAAAUCUCAAAAAGGAAAACUACAAUUUCAUCACGGAAGAUUAUCGAAGAUGAAUCAAAAUGUUCGUAAAUAUUUUCCUCUUUCUUUUUGCAAUAUUUUAUCUUACGUAUCAUGCAUAAUAAAAUUCGGAGUUGAAUUUUUCUCGCUCUCGUUAAACUUGUGCGAUUAAAUAAAUCAAUUAUACUACUUCAUAAAAACGUUGCGUAUCAAAUACUUGUACAUAUAGAAACGGAUCUUGUAUAUUAUCCGUAAAAUAUAACGCGUGUGUGAAUACGAGAAUUUAUUAGAUAAAUUCAAAAAAUAAAAAAAAAUAAAAAAAUAAAAAAAUGACGAAUAAUUCAUCAAAUUUUAAAAGCUGUUGAAAAGCCUUAACUUCUGUGUAUUUAUUAACGUCGCGAUUUAUGGGUAAACGGUGAUGAAGUUCCUAUUACACAGGUGUAAAAUAUUAGUUUAUACUUAAUGUUUAUCGGAGUAAUAUUCGGCAACAAACGAAAAAUGAAAAAAAAAAUAGAAUAAUCAAUUGCGAAACAUCAAUGAAGAUCGAAUUUACGGUGGUGGACUACCGAUGAACGCGAUUACGAAAAGAAUCGCGAACGAAACUGG
This 2795-nucleotide unclassified non-coding RNA is filed under the name Neodiprion lecontei (redheaded pine sawfly). RNAcentral's name for it is "protein doublesex, transcript variant X11". The record is from RNAcentral. Lineage: Eukaryota; Metazoa; Arthropoda; Insecta; Hymenoptera; Diprionidae.